UUUUGGAGACAGAUUCGCAUUCGUCGCUUUUUCGUCUUGGAUUUGUUAAGGAUUCCAAGUAACUCUUAUUUGGAAAGAAGACGAUCUGCACUUCACAUUUUGGCAUUGACAUUUAAUUUUAGGGUCCUUUAUAUAGAAAGGAGAGUAGGUAAACUGAUUUUUUUUAACAGGGAGGGUCUGACGAUCUUUGGCAGACUUGGAGCAAAAGAUUGAGGUGCAUUGCAUGCCUCCUUUUGAGAGUCUUGCUCUGUUGCUCAGGCUGUAGUGCAGUGGUGCGAUCUUGGCUGCAACCUCAGCCUCCCAAGUAGCUGGGAUUACAAAUGUAAGCUACCACACCCAGCCCUCAUACCUCUUUUAAAAGUCACCCCGUUUUGCAGAAAGUCUGCUGUUUUGUACUGAAGGCUUUGGAAUUUGGCAUUUAGCUAGGAAUGCACGUUCUUUCACCUCAUUCACACUUUAAGAACCACAGAAGUGACUCUGCUUGGCCAGAAGGCACACAGUGUUGGUGGGUAUAUUAAAAGUCCUUGAGUAUUUUGCUUUUGUGUUUUUAUUUUUUUUGAGACGGAGCCUCGUUUGUCUCCCAGGCUGGAGUGCAGUGGCAUGAUCUCGCUCACUGCAACCUCUGCCUCCCAGGUUCAGGAGAUUCUCCUGCCUCAGCCUCCUAGUAGCUGGGACUUAUAGGCGUGUAGCACCACACCUGGCUGAUUUUUGUAUUUUUAGUAGAGAGGUUUCACCGUAUUGGUCAGGCUGGUCUCAACUCCUGACCUCGUGAUCUGCCCGCUUCGGCCUCCUAAAGUGCUGGGAUUACAGGCGUGAGCCACCCUUCCCGGCCACUUUUGAAUGAUCUCUAAUGUAUUUGUAAUUUACCUAACAUUGCCUAAUCUGCUAUGUUAAUGUAUUUAUGAAUUAAAAUAAAUGACUGUACAUGUUUGUGGUU
This 937-nucleotide long non-coding RNA is filed under the name Pongo abelii (Sumatran orangutan). Its description in RNAcentral is "lncRNA (ENSPPYG00000030130.1)". The record is from RNAcentral. Lineage: Eukaryota; Metazoa; Chordata; Mammalia; Primates; Hominidae.